CUUGUUCAAACUUGCUUCAAAGAAUUUCAUACACUUUAAUCCUUAAAACCUUGAAAAAUGAUCAGUGUGCCACAGGCAUUAAACCUGUAAACUUUUUUUAACCUCUCCUUUAAAUACCCGAAAUCUUAGUCUGAUUCUGGCAAGUGACCUGGGUAAAAAUUUUAACGUCCAUUUAAUGCACACACAUUUUUGUGUUCCAUAGCUGGUGCUUGCUCACUGUUGGUACAUGACAAACGCAUCUGGGGGAAGAGUUUUGAAAACAAUUCGACAGCAUGAAAGGUUCCAACAAUAAAACAGAACUCUUUACAUUGCAAAGCCAAACAAAUAACUCGGGCAAGUGUAACUGAAUAAAUCCCGAGCUUCGGUGCA
Molecule: long non-coding RNA, 369 nt
Filed under: Lynx pardinus (Iberian lynx)
Lineage: Eukaryota; Metazoa; Chordata; Mammalia; Carnivora; Felidae
Source: RNAcentral